Molecule: ribosomal RNA, 497 nt
Filed under: uncultured bacterium
Lineage: Bacteria
Description: partial 16S ribosomal RNA
Rfam family: Bacterial small subunit ribosomal RNA
Source: RNAcentral
GACGAACGCUGGCGGCGUGCCUAAUACAUGCAAGUAGAACGCUGAAGAGAGGAGCUUGCUCUUCUUGGAUGAGUUGCGAACGGGUGAGUAACGCGUAGGUAACCUGCCUUGUAGCGGGGGAUAACUAUUGGAAACGAUAGCUAAUACCGCAUAACAAUGGAUGACACAUGUCAUUUAUUUGAAAGGGGCAAUUGCUCCACUACAAGAUGGACCUGCGUUGUAUUAGCUAGUAGGUGAGGUAAAGGCUCACCUAGGCGACGAUACAUAGCCGACCUGAGAGGGGGAUCGGCCAAACUGGGAAUGGGACACGGCCCAGACUCCUACGGGAGGCAGCAGUAGGGGAUCUUCGGGAAUGGGGGCAACCCUGACCGAGGAACGCCGCGUGAGUGAAGAAGGUUUUCGGAUCGUAAAGCUCUGUUGUUAGGGAAGAACGGGAGUGAGAGUUGAAAGUUCACACUGUGACGGUAGCUUACCAGAAAGGGACGGCUAACUACGUG